UUCUGAUGACGCAUCUGCCACUUGGCUCACUUCAUCAAGGAUUCUUGCUGAACUGGCACAGUCAAAGGUGAGGACUAGCAGAAAAAUGCACAACGUGGCUUGGAGUGUUUUCGAGGUGAGUUGGGAAACUGUCGCCAUCUUUUCUUGAAAACGGUGCUAGAGUGAGAUAUAGAAGGCAAAUGAAGUUGAGUAGAUGGUUAAUUGAUGAGGAAAGACUGGAGCCUCAAUGGUUAUAUAUAGCUUUAUUACAUCCUAAUAAAAAGUGGAGCUGAUAAGGUGGUUUUGGUAAGUAGUGAUAAAUAUGCCUGUUUUUUCUUGUUUUGUUGCAGAACACCAAAUCCACUUGGACAUCAGGUUUGGUUGAACCAACUCUGAAUUUAUUUUUUUCUGAUUAACUAGACAGUUAUCUCUUUAUUUAAUAACCGCGGUGUCCGGGCCAGCUUUCGUAGACUUCGACUAAUUCCACGGGAUACCUGCCACCUCCCACCAACUACAUGUACCAGUUAACUUAGGACAGAUGUUCAUGUGCAGAUAUACUAUGGACUUCACAGAAGCUUUCAUCUUUUCAACAUCUACAGGCAGAGUUGCCAUGUCUCUAUCUUCCUGUUUUUCCGAGCUUAAGAAAAAUUCAUAAUUGCUAGCGGCAGAAUGCAACUUAAGUUUCCUUCAUAGAUGAUAAAAUAUUAAAAUUUAUCAGUAAAUCUUGUUGAAGGCAGAAAAAUUCUCUGUGAAUUUCACACAAUUCUGAAAGAAAUGAGUUCCUAAACCUCAGAAUUCUCCUUAAGUUUCCUAAACCCGAUAUUUAGUUUAAAAUUUGAAGGAAAUUAAGUUGUUUUCUCAUAAAUAGCACAUCUUCAAGAAUCCUCAUAUAUGUAUUAUCUAUUCGUCCUCCAGCAUUGUUUGUAUUUCUUCUUUCAGGCCUUUGCAGCUUAUUCCGUGCUCCUUAAUUGGUCUGUUAACUGUUAACUUUACGAAUUUAGUCAGCCGAUUUAGCAAUACUAUGUCUGCCCCUACACUUUCCUUUGAAUCUGCGCGGAGAAAGCAGUUUUGCCUAUGCAUGACUACAAUUUGAUUUGCUUGUCUAGUAAAAUGUUUGUAGUCAGAAUUUUUUUAUGUGAGUUUCAAUAUAACUUUGCUACUGUUUAAGAUCUGUGCAUUUUUCUGAUGAAACACACUUAGAAAAAGUUCAUGGUGACACUAAUUGUAGUUUAUGUUAUGUAGCAUCUCCCUUUGUAUUGACAGAAACCAAAAGUUCCACACAAAAUCUUCACCCUUAAAACAAAUAUAAAAAUCUUGAACAAUCAAGAAUUACAAUAGAGAAAGAAAUUGUGAAUUACAGCUCAAUGAUUACUCUAGCAAGUUACUAACUUUAACCAAGAUAAACAUUGAAUGAAAGAAUCUUAUAUGCUUCUUCAUUUUUGUUAGAUGUUACAUUGACAAUCUUGACAGUAGCAUAGCCAUUUGCAUCAUGAUACUUUCCGGUACCUCCUAUUACUGCUAUAUGUGAUUCAAAAACAUCGCCCCUAUGCACCCCGAAAAACCUUAGACUAUCUUCAUACUCAUUACCAAGAAAAGUAGUAGUCAUCGCCAUCAUAUGACUGCUACCGUCUUCUGAACUUGCUACAUACAUUCCUUGAGCUUUUCCCUUCAAAGAUGAACCGUAAAUGGAACCUUUGUAUAUGUCCUCAUCGAUUGUUAUCACUGUCCCUAGUUCUAAUUCUUGAAGUGUGGCUAUAGCUGGGAAUGUCAUGCUGAUCCCUUCCAAAUCAAGCGUGUGAGUAUGCAAUCCGUUCAUUCCAACAUUUGGGUUUGUGUCGGUCAAGGGAAUGCCUCCUACUGGAGGGAAAUAGCCUAAUGGUUUCGAGAAGGGAAUUUGAUGAUGACUAUUUACUCUUGUUGAUGCAGGUCUUGAUGAAGGGUGUUUUAGACUAAGAACAUCUAGCAUGUAAAAGGACGUUUCAUGGCGUUCAUGAUGAUGAUUGUUCGUCGAGGAAGGAUUGUUAUUCAGAGUUCUAGCUGAAAAUGAUUGAUUGCUCAAUGUCAAGAAGAAC
RNAcentral lists this long non-coding RNA (2051 nucleotides) under Solanum tuberosum (potato). RNAcentral's name for it is "long non-coding RNA (STUB_LNC006014)". Lineage: Eukaryota; Viridiplantae; Streptophyta; Magnoliopsida; Solanales; Solanaceae. The record is from RNAcentral.